AUGCAGCGACGCCGCGUGAGGGAUGACGGCCUUCGGGUUGUAAACCUCUUUCAGUAGGGACGAAGCGCAAGUGACGGUACCUAUAGAAGAAGGACCGGCCAACUACGUGCCAGCAGCCGCGGUAAUACGUAGGGUCCGAGCGUUGUCCGGAAUUACUGGGCGUAAAGAGCUCGUAGGUGGUUUGUCGCGUUGUUCGUGAAAACUCACAGCUCAACUGUGGGCGUGCGGGCGAUACGGGCAGACUAGAGUACUGCAGGGGAGACUGGAAUUCCUGGUGUAGCGGUGGAAUGCGCAGAUAUCAGGAGGAACACCGGUGGCGAAGGCGGGUCUCUGGGCAGUAACUGACGCUGAGGAGCGAAAGCGUGGGGAGCGAACAGGAUUAGAUACCCUGGUAGUCCACGCCGUAAACGGUGGGUACUAGGUGUGGGUUUCCUUCCUUGGGAUCCGUGCCGUAGCUAACGCAUUAAGUACCCCGCCUGGGGAGUACGGCCGCAAGGCUAAAACUCAAAGAAAUUGACGGGGGCCCGCACAAGCGGCGGAGCAUGUGGAUUAAUUCGAUGCAACGCGAAGAACCUUACCUGGGUUUGACAUGCACAGGACGUGCCUAGAGAUAGGUAUUCCCUUGUGGUCUGUGUGCAGGUGGUGCAUGGCUGUCGUCAGCUCGUGUCGUGAGAUGUUGGGUUAAGUCCCGCAACGAGCGCAACCCUUGUCUCAUGUUGCCAGCACGUAAUGGUGGGGACUCGUGAGAGACUGCCGGGGUCAACUCGGAGGACGGUGGGGAUGACGUCAAGUCAUCAUGCCCCUUAUGUCCAGGGCUUCACACAUGCUACAGUGGCCGGUACAAAGGGCUGCGAUGCCGUGAGGUUCGCAGGGCAUCACU
This 880-nucleotide ribosomal RNA is filed under the name Mycolicibacterium rhodesiae. RNAcentral describes it as "bacterial SSU rRNA". It matches the Rfam family "Bacterial small subunit ribosomal RNA", at positions 386 to 1275 of the family's 1533-position model. The record is from RNAcentral. Lineage: Bacteria; Bacillati; Actinomycetota; Actinomycetes; Mycobacteriales; Mycobacteriaceae.